CGCACCUUGCGCUCCUUGGUAUUCCGAGGAGCAUGCCUGUUUGAGUGUCAUGAAAUCAUCAACUUACAAGCCUUUGCGGGUUCUGUAAGCUUGGACUUGGAGGUUUUUUUUGUUGGCUUAGCAGUCAACUCCUCUUAAAUGCAUUAGCUCGAUUCCUUGCAGAUCGGCUCUCGGUGUGAUAAUUAUUUACGCCAUGACCGUGAUGUAUAUUGGUGGGCUUCUAAUUGUCUCUUUAGGGACCAAUAUUUUGACCUCUGACCUCAAAUCAGGUAGGACUACCCGCUGAACUUAA
Molecule: unclassified non-coding RNA, 292 nt
Filed under: Abundisporus sclerosetosus
Lineage: Eukaryota; Fungi; Basidiomycota; Agaricomycetes; Polyporales; Polyporaceae
Description: partial contains 5.8S ribosomal RNA, internal transcribed spacer 2, and large subunit ribosomal RNA
Source: RNAcentral